UGCGAGCAUGGUAUCGCGCAAUUCAGUCAGGAAUACCAGAUGCGGUGGACGCAAACGUUGAUGCAACUGAGUGCAUGUUCCGACAUCGAGUAAUUGCUAUAAUCGCUUCUAUGUGUUUCGUACUUUGUUCCCCUUUCGAAAUGACCUCGUUCGAGCGACGGAUCGUGCUUUAAUAUUUCACGGUGCAAUGUCCCCUACAUUCCUUGCUCUCUGGCCAAUUGUUUGAUGGAUUCAAAAUUAAGAUGUCAGCGUAGAAUUCCUUUGCCUCAAAGUACUUUUUAUACUAGUCUCUGCAGAUGUAAAUAUAGAAACCUAAUUUUGGUACAGAUACAAAUAUGAAUUAAGAGAUGUAAAUAAUUAUGAAGUAUAAAUUAUUGGUAAUUUGUACCAUUGGCAGUUCAACUGUUCGGGUUAUCAAACUAUUGAUAAUAUUAGGUACUAGGUCAAAGAGAAGGAAGAGACAAUUACGGGAUAAGACUUUACAUAUGUUAUAUUUUUAGAGCUAAUAUUUUACAAUAUAUCUGACUCCAUUUAGAUAAUGCUUGCCUGUUUUUAUAAUGUUUCGUAGAUAUCAUGAAAUUGCAUAGACAUUUUGCGAUAUGAGUUUGCCCGAAAGCGGAUGACGUUAACAACGAAAUUGUUCGAAACAAUCCUACAGGAAGGCUAGCAUUGCGGAUGCGCGAGAGUACUUCCUGUUAUGCUUGAACGGUGCAAUUCAGACGUAUCCAAUAACUCUUGUGUUUUAUUUCAAACCAGACGAGCAGCAAUCAUCGAAGUGGGCUAAGAAUUAUGGGACUCCUCUCGAUGAUGUUGAACUCGGUAUGGCAAUCGUAUUGCGAUUAUCCUUGUCGUGCAAAAUACAGCUUCUCGUAGAAAAACAUCAAGUAAAAAAAGAUCGUAAUACGACGAAGUCGUACAAAUCUGCAUAGAUCGAAGAAAAUUUUACAUUCUUUCGAAAUAAAAUAUAAAUGAACAUGUAGAAUGUAUAUCAUAUUAAUUUUAUAUCGUGCCACAACAAUCGUACUACGUUCGAUGAAAAGGAAAUCUUAAUACCGAAGUCACCAUAAACUAUCAACAGCUGGCAUUCCGCGAAUAUCACCAUUACAACCUACAACAUCUUAUCACGUCAGUCAGAAUCAUCGUAUCCUCCAUUCGACGUAAUCGCGAACGUACAGCAUACACAAUAUCCCUUCAUCUGUAUGCAACCUCGAGGAGGAAAAGAAGAAACCUUAAUCAUACAUCUCGUUCCAUCAAAUUCCUCGGACUAUGGCCGGGUA
Long non-coding RNA from Bombus pyrosoma, 1277 nucleotides. RefSeq lists it as uncharacterized. The record is from RefSeq and is a predicted model, not a curated record. NCBI's taxonomy places the organism in Eukaryota, Metazoa, Arthropoda, Insecta, Hymenoptera, Apidae. The transcript is spliced from 3 exons.